GAUGAACGCUAGCGGCAGGCCUAACACAUGCAAGUCGAGGGAGAAGCCCUUCGGGGCAGAAACCGGCGCACGGGUGCGUAACGCGUAUGCAACCUACCUUUCACAGGGGGAUAGCCCGAAGAAAUUUGGAUUAAUACCCCAUAAUAUUAUUGGAUGGCAUCAUUUGAUAAUUAAAAUUACGAUGGUGAAAGAUGGGCAUGCGUCCUAUUAGCUAGUUGGAGUGGUAACGGCACCCCAAGGCUACGAUAGGUAGGGGUCCUGAGAGGGAGAUCCCCACACUGGUACUGAGACAGGGACCAGACUCCUACGGGAGGCAGCAGUGAGGAAUAUUGGUCAAUGGUCGGAAGACUGAACCAGCCAUGCCGCGUGCAGGAAGAAUGCCUUAUGGGUUGUAAACUGCUUUUAUAUGGGAAGAAUAAGGCGUACGUGUACGUGAUGACGGUACCAUAUGAAUAGCUCGCA
This 462-nucleotide ribosomal RNA is filed under the name Capnocytophaga granulosa. Its description in RNAcentral is "bacterial SSU rRNA". It matches the Rfam family "Bacterial small subunit ribosomal RNA", at positions 28 to 495 of the family's 1533-position model. The record is from RNAcentral. Lineage: Bacteria; Pseudomonadati; Bacteroidota; Flavobacteriia; Flavobacteriales; Flavobacteriaceae.